This is a long non-coding RNA of Ananas comosus (pineapple), 571 nucleotides long. RefSeq lists it as uncharacterized. Lineage: Eukaryota; Viridiplantae; Streptophyta; Magnoliopsida; Poales; Bromeliaceae. The transcript has 3 exons. The record is from RefSeq and is a predicted model, not a curated record.
CAUGUGGAUUGGGUUGCUGCUGAGGUGGCCUCAUCCUGUGGAAAAUUUACCACCUCUCUUACCCUUUUCUGAAGAGCAAUGCUACAGAAACAUCAGAUCACAACUGUACAUGUACUGCUGAAUGGAUCUUUCUGGUUCAGCCGGGGUCACGGGCUCAGACUAUUUCUAAAUUCGUUCGCUCUCUGAGGAUGAUAGUUUCCUGGCAUGCCAAGAUGUUCAAUGUUUGCGAAUUCUCGGAGAAAAAUGAUCGAGGUCAACAUCGAUCUACGAGCUUCGACAAGAUAUUUGCGGCUUAAGAUUUUACAGAAAUUAUUGUUUCGUAUGAUAUCUCAGACAAACUCUAAACAAGCAUUUUCUGAGAUUACGUGUUUCAAAGCUCGAGUGAUCAGAAAGUUAGUCCAAACUCAUCGUCUACAACCACGUAGAACUCGAGUCGAUCUCAUGUUCAUGCUAUGUGGACAUAUAGGGCAUGGGCCCCUAUACAUUCCUUUCCCAGGAAAAAAUAAAAAAUAAAAAAUUCUCUUCUAUCCUUAAAAACUUAAUACUUAUUAAUAGAACCAAGAAAGGUAUU